CAACAAAAAACGUAAAAUAACUCCAGGCACAAGUGCCGCAGGAAAACUAGAUACAGAAAAGCAGCGAUGGCUGCAAGAAUUACCAUUAAGAAACUCCUUCAGCUCACUAAUGGAAGAAAUAGACGCUGACCCGACAAGUGAAACCACAACUAAUUCAACUCACAUUGCAAAACCACCACCAAUAUUUGUUGAGGUCCAAAUAAUAGACCCGCUUAUUAAUCUACUAAACAAUAUAGUCGGGAAGGAUAAUUACACAAUAAAACAAACAAAAUUAGAACAAGAAAAAAAUGCUAUAUACCACACGUAUCAGCUCAAAGCGGAAAGGAACUACAAAAUAGUUACAAGAGG
Molecule: unclassified non-coding RNA, 348 nt
Filed under: Bombus terrestris (buff-tailed bumblebee)
Lineage: Eukaryota; Metazoa; Arthropoda; Insecta; Hymenoptera; Apidae
Description: misc RNA ENSBTSG00005022114.1
Source: RNAcentral